CGACAAAAUUCAACCUAGCCUCAAUUAGGAAAUUAAGCUGUAACUCCGGUGACGGCCACCGAGACUCCUCCUCAGUAAUAGAGCUAGAGAUCCGAUCUGUAUACACUUCUUAUCGCACCUAAUCUCUCACCAGUGCAAUGUAUACAUGUCCAUGGAGUAAAACUCAGAAGAUCCAGAUCUGUUGCUUUCAGCCAGUUGAUUUGUCAUCUCAAUACCAUCACUCAGCUGGUUGCUAUCCUCAGAAUCUGCAUGUCCCUGGUGAUUAUUAGCUUUCUCCUUCUCUCCAGUUGAAUUGUAAGAAGACUCCACUCUUUGUUUCAUUCAAGUCUAUCACCAUAUUGUGUUGCAUUGCUUCAGCUUCUGCAGGAUUUUCAGUAUUUCUACUAACUUGAUGUUUUUCUGAUGGUUUGUUAUUGUUGUUUGUGGAUUUUGUAUACAUAUCAAGCACUGGUUCAGAUGCAUCAAUGGGGUGCUGCUGUGCAGGACUAUUGCCAAUCACUUCAGUUUCAUCAGGUGGUUUCUUUUCUGUUAUGCAAAUUUCAGCAGUAUCUGCUCCUCUAUCAUACUUCUCAUUGUCUUCUCUCACCCCAAAAGAUUUAGUGAAAGAAGCACAAGAAGAAACUUCCUGAAAUUUGCUUCCCAACUCCUGUUGACUGCCUUCUCCAUCCAUUGUUGUAGUCUUAUCAGCCAUCUCCAAUUCUUUAUGAUUUGACUCCAUGGACUGGUUUGCCACGGCGAUUCAUCUUGCCCCUCUUGUUCUGCACAAAAUCUGAGAUUUUCUCCUGAUUACUACCAAAAGAAGCAACUCCCUCCUUGCUAGCUUGCUCUUUGACAUUCUCACCCUUGCUAGGCAAUAUGCUACUGCUUUGUGUUGCUGCAAUCUCUUUUGUUUGCUCACUCACCUUUUGUUGUAAGGGCUUAUUAGCUAAAUGUUGUGAAAAACUGCCACUGUUUUCUACUUGAUCCUCCACAUUAGCCCUUUCAUUUGUAUCAUCAUAUGCCACUAUAGCAAGUUGCUUGUCUGUUACCAUUACCGCUGGAUCAGUCUCUGAUAAAGCUGCAAAUUUAUUGUUAAUUGGUAGAGAUUUAUCAUUCUCAGCCACCCUUUUUGGUAUAACAUCAACCUUAUCAGUACAGAUGUUCCCCCUAUUAAUCUUAAUAGGAUUCCACUGACCAGGAUUGCCAAUCAUUCGCCCACUAGAAAGCAUCCUCGCUGAAUUGUGAUAUCCCCUUUGCCUUCUGUUUUUAAACUCUUCUUUAUCACUUUGGUUUGGUUUCCCUUGUUCCAUUUCUUCCUUAUUGGUUUCCGUCUCUGCAUUUUUAUGUUGUUGUUGCACUGCAGAAGUUCCAUCAUGGCCUUUCACUUUCCCUUCAUAACUCUGUUCCUGUGUAUGAACUGCAUUGUUGCUUUCUGUUUCUUUCAGAGAUUCCUCUCUUUGGUUUGCAAGUUCAGGGUUAAGAAUUCUACAUUCGUACUUAUUAUGACCCUGCAAUUUGCAUUCCCUACAGUAUUUAGGGAGAUGGUCAUAGUGGAUCUUCACAUCUACAGUCCUUGUUACUCCUGUUGAUUCAUUUUCUAUGUCCAUCCUGAUUGUAGUGGGUAGGUCUGCCAAUAAAUCCACUAAAACUUUAACCCUAGCACAUCUAGGUCUAGUUUUAUUGAUAGUUGCCGCAUCCAAAUGAAUUGGUUUACCCACUGCAGAUGCAAGAGUGAAUAAGGAUUCCUUCACAAAGUAUGUAGGUAAAAGGUUUGGAAAUGAGAUCCAAGCCAUUGCUUUUGAAGUUUCCUCAUCAACUUUGAAUUUGGAGUCAUAUAUGAGUGGUCUCAUCUGAUAGGAAUAUCCAUCUCUAUCACUGAUAUAGUAGACUGGCUUAGAUGUCAAGUUUAUAAAGUCUGCAUAUAAACUUAACCUGAUGAGGACAUGUCUAUUCCUGAAAAAGCCAACUCUACAUUCACCUUUUACUCCACAUUGUGCAGGAAUAAACUUGCGAAGUUGAUCAAUAUCUGGCCAACCAUAGGAGAAUUUCCCAACUACAGCAUACUGAAGAUUUUGAAUUAAAUCCAUCCGAGUCACUUCAUUCUCCGUCCAUUUGACAUAUGGGAUUCCAUUAAGCAUUGAGAUCUGCUUCUGCUCUAUUGGUUGAACA
Long non-coding RNA from Lycium ferocissimum, 2148 nucleotides. RefSeq lists it as uncharacterized. Lineage: Eukaryota; Viridiplantae; Streptophyta; Magnoliopsida; Solanales; Solanaceae. The transcript has 3 exons. The record is from RefSeq and is a predicted model, not a curated record.